Molecule: ribosomal RNA, 253 nt
Filed under: uncultured bacterium
Lineage: Bacteria
Description: partial 16S ribosomal RNA
Rfam family: Bacterial small subunit ribosomal RNA
Source: RNAcentral
UACGGAGGAUCCAAGCGUUAUCCGGAUUUAUUGGGUUUAAAGGGUGCGUAGGUGGCUUUUUAAGUCAGGGGUGAAAGACGGUAGCUUAACUAUCGCAGUGCCUUUGAUACUGAAGAGCUUGAAUGAACUAGAGGUAGGCGGAACGUGACAAGUAGCGGUGAAAUGCAUAGAUAUGUCACAGAACACCGAUUGCGAAGGCAGCUUACUAUGGUUUUAUUGACACUGAGGCACGAAAGCGUGGGGAGCAAACAGG